This 477-nucleotide ribosomal RNA is filed under the name uncultured bacterium. RNAcentral describes it as "partial 16S ribosomal RNA". It matches the Rfam family "Bacterial small subunit ribosomal RNA", at positions 28 to 507 of the family's 1533-position model. The record is from RNAcentral.
GAUGAACGCUGGCGGCGUGCCUAACACAUGCAAGUCGAACGAGAUGCGUAUUGGAAAGCUUCGGCCGGAAGAUGCGUUAUCUAGUGGCGGACGGGUGAGUAACACGUGGGUAACCUGCCUUAUGGAGGGGGAUAACAGAGAGAAAUCACUGCUAAUACCGCAUAAGCACACAUUGCCGCAUGGCAGAGUGUGAAAAGAUUUAUCGCCAUAAGAUGGACCCGCGUCUGAUUAGCCAGUUGGCAGGGUAAAAGCCUACCAAAGCAACGAUCAGUAGCCGAUCUGAGAGGAUGACCGGCCACAUUGGGACUGAGACACGGCCCAAACUCCUACGGGAGGCAGCAGUGGGGAAUAUUGCACAAUGGGGGAAACCCUGAUGCAGCGACGCCGCGUGAGUGAAGAAGUAUUUCGGUAUGUAAAGCUCUAUCAGCAGGGAAGAUAAUGACAGUACCUGACUAAGAAGCCCCGGCUAACUACGUG